RNAcentral lists this transfer RNA (73 nucleotides) under Loxodonta africana (African savanna elephant). It matches the Rfam family "tRNA". From Rfam's summary of the family: Transfer RNA (tRNA) molecules are approximately 80 nucleotides in length. Their secondary structure includes four short double-helical elements and three loops (D, anti-codon, and T loops). Lineage: Eukaryota; Metazoa; Chordata; Mammalia; Proboscidea; Elephantidae. The record is from Rfam by way of RNAcentral.
GCCCUGGUGGCACAACAGUUAAGUGCUUGGCUGCUAAUCUAAAGGUUGGUGGUUUCAAACCCACCCAGGGGCU